UGGAAACAGAUGCUAAUACCGCAUAACAACUUGGACCGCAUGGUCCGAGUUUGAAAGAUGGCUUCGGCUAUCACUUUUGGAUGGUCCCGCGGCGUAUUAGCUAGAUGGUGAGGUAACGGCUCACCAUGGCAAUGAUACGUAGCCGACCUGAGAGGGUAAUCGGCCACAUUGGGACUGAGACACGGCCCAAACUCCUACGGGAGGCAGCAGUAGGGAAUCUUCCA
RNAcentral lists this ribosomal RNA (224 nucleotides) under Lactiplantibacillus plantarum. RNAcentral's name for it is "partial 16S ribosomal RNA". It matches the Rfam family "Bacterial small subunit ribosomal RNA", at positions 151 to 368 of the family's 1533-position model. Lineage: Bacteria; Bacillati; Bacillota; Bacilli; Lactobacillales; Lactobacillaceae. The record is from RNAcentral.